AAAAAGUUUUAUAGAUAUUAAAAAUGUUUUGUAAAGUCCAAAAAAUCGAAUUUAUAUACAAAAAAUAUUUUGUAAAAUCCAAAAAAUCAAAUUUAUAUAGAAAAAUCGUUUUGUAAAAUACAAAAAUCAAUUUUAUAUACAAAAAUUGAUUUUAUAAAUACAAAAAAAAUAAAAAAUUAUAAAAAAAUUCUAAAUCAAUUCAACAAAACAAAUUAUUCAACCAAAUCACAAUUCUAAACCUAUUAUACAACCAAAUCACAAUCCUAACCAAUCACCCUAAC
RNAcentral lists this long non-coding RNA (281 nucleotides) under Brassica napus (rape). RNAcentral's name for it is "long non-coding RNA (BNAP_LNC022188)". The record is from RNAcentral. Lineage: Eukaryota; Viridiplantae; Streptophyta; Magnoliopsida; Brassicales; Brassicaceae.